This is a long non-coding RNA of Eriocheir sinensis (Chinese mitten crab), 366 nucleotides long. RefSeq lists it as uncharacterized. The record is from RefSeq and is a predicted model, not a curated record. NCBI's taxonomy places the organism in Eukaryota, Metazoa, Arthropoda, Malacostraca, Decapoda, Varunidae. The transcript is spliced from 3 exons.
GCGUCGCUGUGUCAGUGUUGCUCGUUUCACCGGUCCCUUGUUGCACUGUGUUCUCCGCAUGCAUACCUGUGUGUCCUGCAGGUUGGCGGCGUGACGCUCAGUGACCGCCGCACGUGACGCCGCAGUGGUCAACCGGGGCUGUCAGCUGAUCAUCGGAGCGUGCUCCUGUGGCUGCCUGCUGGUUAACUUCGUCCUCAGAGUGACAGGCCACCAUGCAGGAGUUCAAAUUUCCCAAGACUUUUCCUGUGUGUGGAAGCUGUGCAGCGAGGCAAAGGGAGGGUGACCUCGGGAAACUGUUCAUGUGACCAGAAACAUCGCCACGUUGCCUUUCACUCCUUUGCUCCUCUGAACCAAACACUAACAAAA